UGAGACACUGUUGAAAAUUACCCAACAUUACUUUGACUUUUCUAUUCUUUUUCUCUUUUUAGCAAUUGUGCCCUGAGUUUGUAGAGCAUGCUGUUAUCCAAAAAGUAUGAAGAAGAUUGAAUGUCUCAUUAUAACUCUUGUCCAAAGUGUCCAAGAAAACAUAUCGAGUAACAACCAAAAUGUCACCAGCUGAGUGAAACACUUAUAAGCUUACCUGCUUCCACCACUUGCAUGAGCAAGGAUGUUUCUAUAAGGAUAAGUUCCAGCAGAAGAGAAGAGGAAAUGCAUUUCCAUCUCCAAUCUUGACUCCUCAUUUCAAGUUAUAUUAUGAGCCAAGUGAAAAAUGGACAAGAGGAAGGAAGAGUCAGAAUACAUCAGUUGCCGGCUUCCAGCCAGCUAACUACAAUGGCAGACCACAGAAUAUGCAUGACCCCGGAGGAAGGACCCAUAUCCCUGAGGUACAACUCUGUUCUUGUUUAAAAACAAAACACAUCUUAGCGUAAUAAAAUGUCCAAUGGAAUGAAUGGAGGUGGUUGGAUUUUUUCAGGUAAGAAGCUCUCUUGCCCACAAUUUAGUGCAGAGUUGUGCUGUUAAACUGCUGUUACAUACCACUGCAUGAAAAUCUGCAUUUCAGCUAUGAGUGAAGGAUUCUAAUGUAUAUAGUCUGUAAAGCACUUUGGGAAAGAAGGAAAGAAAAUAUUUAGAGCAGCACAAAUCUGAAAAUUAAACUGGGAGAGUUGGGAAAUAUUUUGCCCUUCUAUAGUACAUUCUACCUGAGAAUCUAUAAGAUUACAUUAACAAAUGAAUCCUUACAAUAUCCUUGUAAGGUAGGUAUUUUUACUUGCAUUUUAUCAAUGGGGAAAUGAAACAGAAAUAUUUGUGGGCUCGCUAUGGUCACGUAGCAAGUCAGUCAGUAGCAGACCCAGGAAUAGUAUCCAGCUCUCCUGACUCCUAAUUGUGCGCUUUAACCAUUAUAUUAUGCUCCUUCUGAUGUACAGAUAUAGACUGUACACCUCUGCAUCUUCAGUCUCUUAUUACAAGGUGCCUGCUCUUCCAACAGUUAAAUGUUAGUCAUUAAUGGACAUUGAAAAUAUUUCUUUGGUAGUCUCAGAAUCUGAUUAUCUUGUUCUUUAUAUAAUGAAUAUGCAAAGAUGUUAAAAUAGAUUUCACACUGAUGACACACAUGCUGCCACCCCCUAAGAAUCACUUAGGAAAACUCUAUUGUCCACUGGAGAUCAUGAUCCACUUAAAAUUGACAUUUACACCUGGCUGAGUAGUUAUUGUAUCCAUGCAGUAAUAAUGACUGGCAAGUAGAUGGCGUACCUGCAGCAGGCAGAGUAAGUCUAUGAAGGCCAGGCAAAGGGAUGAAAACAGCAGAGACACCUUGUUGCCUUGACUCCCCCUCUUGCUUGUCAGCAGCUGGACGCCUGACAGAGACCGGGGGAAAAGAGCAACAUGGGAAAGAGGAGGAGGAAUGGCACUGAGCCAGCCUUCAACACAAAG
Molecule: long non-coding RNA, 1503 nt
Filed under: Chrysemys picta bellii (western painted turtle)
Lineage: Eukaryota; Metazoa; Chordata; Testudines; Emydidae
Description: lncRNA (ENSCPBG00000027588.1)
Source: RNAcentral